RNAcentral lists this ribosomal RNA (444 nucleotides) under uncultured soil bacterium. RNAcentral's name for it is "bacterial SSU rRNA". It matches the Rfam family "Bacterial small subunit ribosomal RNA", at positions 26 to 518 of the family's 1533-position model. The record is from RNAcentral.
AGAGCGAACGCUGGCGGCAGGCCUAACACAUGCAAGUCGAACGGACUCUUCGGAGUUAGUGGCGGACGGGUGAGUAACACGUGGGAACGUGCCUUUUGGUUCGGAAUAGCUCCUGGAAACGGGUGGUAAUGCCGAAUGUGCCCUUCGGGGGAAAGACUUAUCGCCAUUAGAGCGGCCCGCGUCUGAUUAGCUAGUUGGUGAGGUAAAGGCUCACCAAGGCGACGAUCAGUAGCUGGUCUGAGAGGAUGACCAGCCACAUUGGGACUGAGACACGGCCCAAACUCCUACGGGAGGCAGCAGUGGGGAAUCUUGCGCAAUGGGCGAAAGCCUGACGCAGCCAUGCCGCGUGAAUGAUGAAGGUCUUAGGAUUGUAAAAUUCUUUCACCGGGACGAUAAUGACGGUACCGGAGAAGAAGCCCGGCUAACGUUCGUGCCAGCAGCCGC